CUAGAAUGGAUACUCUCAGGAGGUCACUCUCCCUGGUUCUGUCCAAGAGAAAUAGGGGAGCACAGGGCUCUGUCCAUGUGUACAGACACUUCGCAUAAUUUUAGAGAAGUUGCCUGGAGGCUAAACUUGCAUAU
Molecule: small nucleolar RNA, 134 nt
Filed under: Fukomys damarensis (Damara mole-rat)
Lineage: Eukaryota; Metazoa; Chordata; Mammalia; Rodentia; Bathyergidae
Description: Small nucleolar RNA SNORA73 family (ENSFDAG00000000730.1)
Source: RNAcentral